GCACCAGUGGUUUAGUGGUAGAAUAGUACCCUGCCACAGUACUGAUCCGGGUUCUAUUCCCAACUGAUGCA
Lupinus angustifolius (narrow-leaved blue lupine) is the source of this 71-nucleotide non-coding RNA. The record is from Rfam. Lineage: Eukaryota; Viridiplantae; Streptophyta; Magnoliopsida; Fabales; Fabaceae.